Molecule: ribosomal RNA, 1443 nt
Filed under: metagenome
Description: bacterial LSU rRNA
Rfam family: Bacterial large subunit ribosomal RNA
Source: RNAcentral
CAAGCAGAAGACGGCAUACGAGAUGUGACUGGAGUUCAGACGUGUGCUCUUCCGAUCUCUCCACCCAGACUCAUCCAUGCGGUUAUUUAUAGAGAGUUUCUGUUGGAGCUGAUACUGCCCUCGGAUCUCGUAACUUGUUCGACCUUACUGGAUUGGUCGGGCCGGGAAGAGGUUCCAGGAAAUAGCUCCCACGUAUAGUCCGUACCCCAAACCGACACAGGUGGACUGGCAGAGUAUGCUAAGGCGCUUGAGAGAACUUUGUUGAAGGAACUAGGCAAAUUGCCCUCGUAACUUCGGAAGAAGAGGGCCCGGUUUUAGCGCAAGCUUUAGCCGGGGGCACAUAGCAGGGGGUGGCGACUGUUUACUAAAAACACAGGGCGCUGCGAAAUCCAAAGAUGACGUAUAGCGUCUGACGCCUGCCCGGUGCUGGAAGGUUAAGAGGAGAUGUGAAAGCGUUGAAUCGAAGCCCCAGUAAACGGCGGCCGUAACAAUAACGGUCCUAAGGUAGCGAAAUUCCUUGUCGGGUAAGUUCCGACCUGCACGAAAGGCGUAACGACUUCCCCACUGUCUCCAACAAAGGCUCAGCGAAAUUGAAUUCCCCGUGAAGGUGCGGGGUUCCCGCGGUCAGACGGAAAGACCCCGUGCACCUUUACUGCAACUUUACGCUGGCAUUAGGAAUGUGAUGUGUAGGAUAGGUGGUAGGCUUUGAAGCCGUGGCGCUAGCCAUGGUGGAGCCAUCCUUGAAAUACCACCCUUUGUGUUCCUGAUGUCUAACCGCGGCCCAUCACUGGGUCCGAGACAGCGUAUGGUGCAGUUUGACUGGGGCGGUCGCCUCCCAAAGAGUAACGGAGGCGCGCGAUGGUAGGCUCAAUCCGGUCGGAAAUCGGAUGUUGAGUGCAAUGGCAAAAGCCUGCCUGACUGCAAGGUCGACGGACCAAGCAGAGACGAAAGUCGGUCAUAGUGAUCCGUGGUCCCGCGUGGAAGGGCCAUCGCUCAACGGAUAAAAGGUACGCCGGGGAUAACAGGCUGAUCGCACCCAAGCGUCCAUAGCGACGGUGCGGUUUGGCACCUCGAUGUCGGCUCAUCACAUCCUGGGGCUGUAGCCGGUCCCAAGGGUAUGGCUGUUCGCCAUUUAAAGUGGUACGUGAGCUGGGUUUAGAACGUCGUGAGACAGUUCGGUCCCUAUCUGCCGUGGUUGUUCGAAACUUGAGAAGACUUCUUCCUAGUACGAGAGGACCGGAAGGAACGUACCUCUGGUGGACCGGUUGUGGCGCCAGCCGCAUAGCCGGGUAGCUAAGUACGGACGAGAUAACCGCUGAACGCAUCUAAGCGGGAAACUCACUUCAAAACUAGGUUUCGCUUGAGAGCCGGGGAAGACUACCCCGUCGAUAGGCCAGGUGUGUAAGCGUAGCAAUGCGUUGAGCUUACUGGUACUAAUCGCUC